This 2248-nucleotide long non-coding RNA is filed under the name Homo sapiens (human). Its description in RNAcentral is "HSALNT0165411". The record is from RNAcentral. Lineage: Eukaryota; Metazoa; Chordata; Mammalia; Primates; Hominidae.
AUAACACUAGUUUCAUGACCUCACCGUCAAAUAAGGUGGAUAACCAUUUAUCUCUGAUUUCUCUUCCAAAUUGCUGGCUUGUUUUCCAGUCCUUCUAACCCAGUCUUUAUCUGGUCACCUGUCAUUCUUUCACUUGAACACAAGUCUUUACAAAAUUGAUGGCUGUACGUCUAUCUCACUAAGGCUCAAAAAUAGUUAGAACCUGUGUAUCUAUCAGUGGAUAAUAUUUACAUUUAUAAUAUCACAUUUAAUUUCCAUAGAGAAAAAUACAGGAUUGUUUUUGUGGUUGUUGUUAAUGUAAAUUUACCUCAGACAGGUAAUAAAAAAAAGGGAUGGACAAGAAAAUACCCAAUUCCAAAGCUUGAAAAGAAAGGCCAAAAUUUGCCCCAGAAUUUUUUAAGAAAAUGUGAUGAAUUAUCAAAGACAGAACAAGGGGUUCUCUAGAGAAGGCAUGAGACCUUGAAGAGGUCCUUCUCUUACAGAGGCAGUGGACACACCCUCAUUGGAUAUUCAUAAAUACAAGAUACUUAUUGAUAUUCUCAAUUAUUUGCAUGUCAAACUUAAUAUAAACUCUCCUACCAAUACUGAAUAAAUUAUCUGGAAAUACUUUCACAUCAUGGUUUAAAAUAAUCCUAUCUCUGGGAGCAGGAUAGACAAAAACAAUGCAGGGUUUACUUGCAUAUUUACUUUUGAUUGUAAUUGCUGUUUUUGACAAAUUAAUAUUUAUAUGCUCUUUCAGUAGCAUCCUGACUAGCACUAAUUAUUCCAUAUAUAAUGUGUCUUGGUCAAGAUCCCAAAGUCUGAAUUCCUUAGCCUUCAAUAAAACAAUAUGAAAUGUUAAAAUACUUGACCCAAAGACAGUAAAUUGAAGUUAAUUUUUUUUAAAUUAUAAGAAGUCAAUGUAGUAUUUUACCAAAUUGAUUUAGAAAAAAAAUGCAGUUUUUACUUGUUUUUGAUGUAUUUAGAGGUCUGAUGAACCCUUCAUACAACCUUGUUAUACACCAGACUGGUGCUUUCCUGUCUGAAAUAAAUUUAAAUUUAAGGGCUCUACAAAUCACACACACACAGGGCAUACAGCACACAUGGUGUGUUGAAACUCGAUGACAUAGAUGACCUUGGAUUCAGAUAUUUUUCAUAGAAAGUCUACGCAUGCAGCAAGAAAGUAUAGUGGUUACUGUUGAAGGCUUAUUCUUCACAGCCUGCUUUUGAUUCUUGUCUUUAUUAAUAAAAGUCUGGAAGAUAGAUAACACAUUUAUUGAAACUGAUACAAAUACAACAUGACAACUCACCUUAAACAUUACUACACACUUGCCAGUGGCCACUGUGUAUAUUUUAAGAGAGCUAGAGAGAAAUGCUGUGGCUGUCUCUCUCUUUUUGUUUUUUUGUUUUGGUUUUUUUUUUGAGACGGAGUCUCGCUCUGUCGCCCAGGCUGGAGUGCAGCGGCGCCAUCUCGGCUCACUGCAAGCUCUGCCUCCUGGGUUCACGCCAUUCUCCUGCCUCAACCUCCCGAGUAGCUGGGAUGCUGUGGCUCUCUCUUAUUUUUUAAGCAUGCAAUUGUACACACUAAAUCAAAAUGAGUUCCAUAGUUCUUCAUCAUUAACAGAUUUUAUUAAUCCAUUUGGCCAUGUUUUAAAUAAGGAAUGUAAAUCACACACAGAAUACAUGAAAAAUGGUAACCAGAAUAUUUCCAAUUGUCAUUUUAAAAACAAUUUCUAGGAAACAAUAUCUCACGCCUGUGAUAACAAAUUUGUUUAAAAGAGUGUACACGUAGCUCUAUUUUCUUCCAACAACCAUUUCAAAAUGGCGUCUCCUGCACUGAGAGGAUAUGAAGGCUAUGGAAAAUAUGCUGGACUUAUGGCCCUCAACAACUUUGUAGCGUUUACUUCUACUAUGGCUGCAUUUUGUUUGUGGGGAGAUAUAUCAUACUCCUUAUUAAAAAUUAAGAUGUGAAUGUAAUCAUCGAUUUGCAUGUUGACUUUGUCAAGUAAGCUUUUAUCUGUGGAGGGAAUCCUUGGCCACCAUUUCCCAAUUUUAUCUCCUCAAUAGCCUUUGCCAAAGCUGGACGGUCAGCUUAGGUUGUAUUCUUACUGCAUUCACCUCUUAUCUCAUUUCCUCUUUAUUAAACAGGGAACUUUCAGCUAAAAUAAGAAGCUAAUGUGAUUUUGUAGAGAAAGAUAGCUUUGUUCAUUUGAGUUGUGUUAGUAGAGGGAUAAAUUAGGAACAUUUCAAAUGUAGAUGAUAAUAAGGU